Molecule: ribosomal RNA, 253 nt
Filed under: uncultured bacterium
Lineage: Bacteria
Description: partial 16S ribosomal RNA
Rfam family: Bacterial small subunit ribosomal RNA
Source: RNAcentral
UACGGAGGGUGCAAACGUUGCUCGGAAUUAUUGGGCGUAAAGCGCACGUAGGCGGUUUGCUACGUCGGAUGUGAAAGCCUCGGGCUCAACCCGAGAAGGGCAUCCGAAACUGGCAGGCUUGAGUACGGAAGAGGGUCUCGGAAUUCCCGGUGUAGAGGUAAAAUUCGUAGAUAUCGGGAGGAACACCAGUGGCGAAGGCGGAGACCUGGGCCGAUACUGACGCUGAGGUGCGAAAGCGUGGAGAGCAAACAGG